Herpailurus yagouaroundi (jaguarundi) is the source of this 287-nucleotide long non-coding RNA. RefSeq lists it as uncharacterized. The record is from RefSeq and is a predicted model, not a curated record. The transcript is spliced from 2 exons. Lineage: Eukaryota; Metazoa; Chordata; Mammalia; Carnivora; Felidae.
AGGAGAACAGAGAUGACAGAAGAGCAGUAUUCAGCUUGUUGAGUGAGGUUCAGGCCUCCUUUUCUUCAACUGAUGAGAAUUACUAUCUUUCCUUCUUCCAAGGCUCUGCCCAUCCAUCAGUCACCCUCAAAGUGUCCGCUGUGGAUCUGUGAUUGGCUCAUUAAAGAGGAAACCCAAACAGCAUUUUUAAAAGCAAUAAAAGGGGACAGAAGAGGAGCAGCAGAGACUGGAGGAUGGCUGGCAGAGCAGACAAACCAAGCAGGAUAUGCCACUGCUCAUGACUGCCC